This 484-nucleotide ribosomal RNA is filed under the name uncultured bacterium. RNAcentral's name for it is "SSU rRNA". It matches the Rfam family "Bacterial small subunit ribosomal RNA", at positions 26 to 523 of the family's 1533-position model. The record is from RNAcentral.
AGGACGAACGCUGGCGGCGUGCUUAACACAUGCAAGUCGAACGGAUUCGUGGCACUUGUGCCUCGGGUUAGUGGCGAACGGGUGAGUAACACGUGAGUAACCUGCCCCAGACUCUGGGAUAACUUCGGGAAAACCGUAGCUAAUACCGGAUAUGACACGGAGAGGCAUCUCUAUCGUGUGGAAAGUUUUUCGGUCUGGGAUGGACUCGCGGCCUAUCAGCUUGUUGGUGAGGUAAUGGCUCACCAAGGCGACGACGGGUAGCCGGCCUGAGAGGGCGAUCGGCCACACUGGGACUGAGACACGGCCCAGACUCCUACGGGAGGCAGCAGUGGGGAAUAUUGCACAAUGGGCGCAAGCCUGAUGCAGCGACGCCGCGUGAGGGAUGACGGCCUUUGGGUUGUAAACCUCUUUCAGCAGGGAGAAGCGCAAGUGACGGUACCUGCAGAAGAAGCACCGGCUAACUACGUGCCAGCAGCCGCGGUAA